RNAcentral lists this ribosomal RNA (254 nucleotides) under uncultured bacterium. RNAcentral's name for it is "partial 16S ribosomal RNA". It matches the Rfam family "Bacterial small subunit ribosomal RNA", at positions 524 to 776 of the family's 1533-position model. The record is from RNAcentral.
GACGUAGGGCGCGAGCGUUGUCCGGAAUUAUUGGGCGUAAAGAGCUCGUAGGCGGCUUGUCGCGUCGACUGUGAAAACCCGUGGCUCAACCAUGCGGUCUGCAGUCGAUACGGGCAGGCUAGAAUUCGGUAGGGGAGACUGGAAUUCCUGGUGUAGCGGUGAAAUGCGCAGAUAUCAGGAGGAACACCGGUGGCGAAGGCGGGUCUCUGGGCCGAUAUUGACGCUGAGGAGCGAAAGCGUGGGGAGCGAACAGG